Small nucleolar RNA from Microtus ochrogaster (prairie vole), 147 nucleotides. Lineage: Eukaryota; Metazoa; Chordata; Mammalia; Rodentia; Cricetidae. The record is from Ensembl.
GAUCCCUGGCAAUGGGCAAAGAGACACCGUGGUGGUGGUGGUGGUGUUCUUAUGUCAGCCAGGGGCAGAGCAGGUGGCAGUCCUUUGUUCAUCCUAGCUUGAGGCCUGGAUUGGUGGCCAAAGCUGUUUCAUGCCUGGGGCACAAAA